AAGUCGUAACAAGGUUUCCGUAGGUGAACCUGCGGAAGGAUCAUUACAUGUUUGAAUUAGCUGCUCUCCCUUUAAAACGGGGCCAGUUAUUCUUCUACCCAUGCCUUUUUGCGUACUGCUUGUUUCCUCGGUAGCCUCGCCUACCGAUAGGACAACUUAAAAACCCUUUUUUUGUAAUUGCAAUCAGCGUCAAAAGAUAACUUAAUAGUUACAACUUUCAACAACGGAUCUCUUGGUUCUG
RNAcentral lists this unclassified non-coding RNA (241 nucleotides) under fungal sp. Its description in RNAcentral is "partial internal transcribed spacer region". The stretch from base 1 to 46 matches the Rfam family "Eukaryotic small subunit ribosomal RNA", at positions 1786 to 1831 of the family's 1831-position model. Lineage: Eukaryota; Fungi. The record is from RNAcentral. RNAcentral also lists the same sequence under 1 other name.